RNAcentral lists this transfer RNA (73 nucleotides) under Camelus bactrianus (Bactrian camel). It matches the Rfam family "tRNA". Rfam says of the family: Transfer RNA (tRNA) molecules are approximately 80 nucleotides in length. Their secondary structure includes four short double-helical elements and three loops (D, anti-codon, and T loops). Further hydrogen bonds mediate the characteristic L-shaped molecular structure. tRNAs have two regions of fundamental functional importance: the anti-codon, which is responsible for specific mRNA codon recognition, and the 3' end, to which the tRNAs corresponding amino acid is attached (by aminoacyl-tRNA synthetases). tRNAs cope with the degeneracy of the genetic code in two manners: having more than one tRNA (with a specific anti-codon) for a particular amino acid; and 'wobble' base-pairing, i.e. permitting non-standard base-pairing at the 3rd anti-codon position. Lineage: Eukaryota; Metazoa; Chordata; Mammalia; Artiodactyla; Camelidae. RNAcentral also lists the same sequence under 2 other names. The record is from Rfam by way of RNAcentral.
GAGGGUAUAGCUCAAGUGGCAGAGCACAUGCUUAACAUGCAUGAGGUCCUGGGUUCAAUCCCUAGUACUUCCU